UGAGCCAAGAGGGACGUGGCGCUCUGCGACGCGGAAGGGAAGGCCGCGCCCCUUCCUCUUCUGGUUUUCUGGGAGAAGCCUGUGCAGCAGGACUUGGGCCGCUCUGGGUUUUCAUCUUCAAGCUCACUAAAGUUGAACGAUGACUAUCAUACUUCCGGAUAUCAUGACCACAUUUAAAGGGAAUGGUAUGCACAUGUUUGCCAAGUCACAACCCCAUGAAUCUUCCCUGAGUCUUCAUUUUUGUUUGUACCACAUCUCUAAUCCAUCAGCAAGUUCUGUUGAGCCUGUCUCCAAACUACAUCAUACACGUCUCUCAGCAGUCAGGUGAUCUCUUACAACACUGCACUACUCUACUUGAAAACAAUGGCUUCUUAUCCAAACCCCUUACUGCUUAUGUCAGGGCUCUUCAUGAUAUCUCCUCUCUUUCUGUUCAAUUAUAUUUCCUCUUCAUCAAUCAUUGUACUCAAGCCAUUUUGUUUUUUUCUGUUCUAAGAAACCAUU
Molecule: long non-coding RNA, 501 nt
Organism: Talpa occidentalis (Iberian mole)
Lineage: Eukaryota; Metazoa; Chordata; Mammalia; Eulipotyphla; Talpidae
Exons: 3
Source: RefSeq, a predicted model, not a curated record